Molecule: ribosomal RNA, 537 nt
Filed under: Bacillus sp. R22
Lineage: Bacteria; Bacillati; Bacillota; Bacilli; Caryophanales; Bacillaceae
Description: bacterial SSU rRNA
Rfam family: Bacterial small subunit ribosomal RNA
Source: RNAcentral
AUGGACGAAGUCUGACGGAGCACGCCGCGUGAGUGAUGAAGGUUUUCGGAUCGUAAAGCUCUGUUGUUAGGGAAGAACAAGUGCGAGAGUAACUGCUCGCACCUUGACGGUACCUAACCAGAAAGCCACGGCUAACUACGUGCCAGCAGCCGCGGUAAUACGUAGGUGGCAAGCGUUGUCCGGAAUUAUUGGGCGUAAAGGGCUCGCAGGCGGUUUCUUAAGUCUGAUGUGAAAGCCCCCGGCUCAACCGGGGAGGGUCAUUGGAAACUGGGAAACUUGAGUGCAGAAGAGGAGAGUGGAAUUCCACGUGUAGCGGUGAAAUGCGUAGAGAUGUGGAGGAACACCAGUGGCGAAGGCGACUCUCUGGUCUGUAACUGACGCUGAGGAGCGAAAGCGUGGGGAGCGAACAGGAUUAGAUACCCUGGUAGUCCACGCCGUAAACGAUGAGUGCUAAGUGUUAGGGGGUUUCCGCCCCUUAGUGCUGCAGCUAACGCAUUAAGCACUCCGCCUGGGGAGUACGGUCGCAAGACUGAAACU